Paramormyrops kingsleyae is the source of this 135-nucleotide small nucleolar RNA. Ensembl annotates it as small nucleolar RNA SNORA22. The record is from Ensembl. Lineage: Eukaryota; Metazoa; Chordata; Actinopteri; Osteoglossiformes; Mormyridae.
CUGCACAGGGAACACCCAUGUGUGCUUCGUAGCUCCCUUGGUCAUUAGCCUGUGCUAAAGUAAAAGUCUGUUCUGUACCUCUGCAUGAGAAGAGCUGUCGUUCCUUCUACAUGUAUUCAUCAGACCAGCACAUUC